GCGUAUCUGUUGAUAGGAUCUAGGCUAUUAAUGACUAGGGAAGUCUUUAGCUAAGAUCUAAGUUAGCCCUCGCCUUUAGGCGAUAUUAUAAAUAAAGGGCGAAAAUUAAGAGGUUCGGCCAGGAAGUGGACCGAGCGACGUGAGGCCUCGACCGCGGCCUAGGCGGCUGGGAUCGGGUCUUACAAGUUGGUAUCAGAGCAUGCUUGAUCCUGUUUAGGACAACUCUAUAAGAUUAUGCGUUCCAUACCGAAGUUAUUUCCAAAACUAUGAUGACUAUGAAACCUUAGUUGGGGUGAGCCAAGAAACAGUUGAGGUAAGCUAGGGUAUCAUGCUUGUGAACGUGGGAAUUCUAAGAUGAACCGGCUUAGCCAAGAUACAUUUUCCAAGGGCAAGAAGCUAUAAACAGAAAGGUUGGUCGAUCUAGUUAUUUAGAAGUAAUAGACGGGUUGGAAGGGAUGGAGUCAAUGCAAGACUUGUUUAUGGAUGACCUCAACAAGGGAAGUAACAUGGACCAGAGAGCGGCUUAGGUUGAAAUAAACUGUAACGACCCGGUUCUCUAAAUGUUGGUUUUGUAUCGAUUUUAAUUGAAUCAGACCAUUGGUAAGCCAAAGCAUUAUAUAUAUCAUAUUUUAUUAACCUAGCAAUCAAAAGAAAAAGGAAAGGAAAGUGCAUCGAGAACCGCCUCCAUUAAUCUCCAUCACGUCUUCUUCCUCUUCAUCACGUCUUCAAGUACACACUCCUAUUGUCCUUUCCUUCACGCCAGAGAAAGGAGUUCCUUGCGCCGUCAUCCUAGAUCGAUUCAGGAGACUUUAGCCUUUGAACCAAGGCUCUUUGGAUAGAUCUCGUUUCCAGGAAUCUGUAGCAGCAAACGGAAUCGAGAUCGAAGUUGUACAACAAAAGUUAUUGACUUUGCUUCUUGGCCAAGAAUAAACUUAAGCUGUUGUGGUGCAGAGACAGUUCCGACCAGUCCCAGCGUAAAGGCGAAACGGUCGACCAAAACAGAAGCUUUCAGUAUGGAAAUUUGUCAGUAAGUAUUUCACUCUUUUAUCUAUCAUCUCCCAGAAGCGGAUUGUCAUUCCGAGUUAUUUUCUGAAAGUUGUGUUUGUUCUCGCGAGAGGUAUUGCUGCAGUCUUCGUAUGCGACCAGCCUGCAGGUGAGGCCAUUUUGGUUGAUCAAAUGGUGGCCAAUCGGAGUAAACCCGGUGGCUACGGACAAAGGACAUAUAGGACUACAUUCUUACCGGAGGGAUUGAAAGUUUAACGGUCAGUUCUUGAAUUAUUCGUCUGUUUUCUCGAGGGUUCAGGUCUGCCCAAAUCCUCACAUUCGUCUAUUUUCAGAAAGCUCCGGAGUUGUUAUUUUAGAGCCAGCAAAAUUCAUUCGGUGUGUUCAGGUUUUCUGAAGAACCUGUGGCAAAGGUGAGGGUCUAUUCCCGAACUUCUCAUACACGGCUUAGGACCUUGAAUAAGUAUAAUUUAUUUCUAAUAUGUUUCGUCUGUCUGAAAUCGAGUCUGUCAUUGCUUGUUUAGUUUUUAGGUUCUUUGCUUAAACCGGAAAUAAGAAAUCAGAUGAUUCAACGUUGCUUGUGUGAAUUAAUUUGAUAUAUUCAUGUAUAUAUAUAGUAUAUAUAUUUUGAUGUGUUUGUGCCGGAUACAGAGAGGUCUUUAUCUGUAUGUCGGGUGCCGGGUACAGAGAGGUGUGUAUCUGUAGCCUGGAUUGUAUAGAGGUUACGGUCAGCUAUAGUCGACCUGUUGAUCGUAGCUUGUAGGUCGAUAAAUCGUCUACGGGCGUGUGUGACCGAGCACUUUUUCGGGGUAUUUUUGGCCUGUUCGUGGGCAGGUCGCUAGGACCAUUGUUUGUUUCUUGGGUGCUUUAGGUACCGUAUUUGACAUGUAUUAGGGUAAAUUAUAUUUAUUCAGAGUGCUAUGUCCGGGUCCACGGACUUCAGGAUAGCAUCCCAUACCUCACUGAGUGACUCCCCUGUUACUCACCCCUCUUUCUUUCCCAUUUCAGGUGAGACAGAUGAGUAUAUGAUAUUUGGACGGAUUUGUGCUUCUGGACUUUUUAUUCGGAUUUUUAUUUGGGCUUUGGGGGAGUGUAAUUGGGUAUAUGGGCUUUUAUUAUACGAGAUAUUGUUGGUGGCCCGCUGUUCUCCGGAUUGGAGGUAACAUGUGUCACAAUUUGGUAUCAGAGCGGGGUUCCGUUCCGGCCUCGACCCGGAAUGGCGAUUAGGGGAUUCGGUUUUGUACGUUUUAAAAAAAAGUAUAAAAUAAUUUAUAUAUAUAUAAUAAGAAAAAAAAUUUUUG
Long non-coding RNA from Brassica rapa (field mustard), 2303 nucleotides. RefSeq lists it as uncharacterized. Lineage: Eukaryota; Viridiplantae; Streptophyta; Magnoliopsida; Brassicales; Brassicaceae. The record is from RefSeq and is a predicted model, not a curated record.